This 465-nucleotide ribosomal RNA is filed under the name uncultured Klebsiella sp. RNAcentral's name for it is "bacterial SSU rRNA". It matches the Rfam family "Bacterial small subunit ribosomal RNA", at positions 338 to 795 of the family's 1533-position model. The record is from RNAcentral. Lineage: Bacteria; Pseudomonadati; Pseudomonadota; Gammaproteobacteria; Enterobacterales; Enterobacteriaceae.
CCUACGGGCGGCAGCCGUGGGGAAUAUUGCACAAUGGGCGCAAGCCUGAUGCAGCCAUGCCGCGUGUGUGAAGAAGGCCUUCGGGUUGUAAAGCACUUUCAGCGGGGAGGAAGGCGGUGAGGUUAAUAACCUCAUCGAUUGACGUUACCCGCAGAAGAAGCACCGGCUAACUCCGUGCCAGCAGCCGCGGUAAUACGGAGGGUGCAAGCGUUAAUCGGAAUUACUGGGCGUAAAGCGCACGCAGGCGGUCUGUCAAGUCGGAUGUGAAAUCCCCGGGCGCAACCUGGGAACUGCAUUCGAAACUGGCAGGCUAGAGUCUUGUAGAGGGGGGUAGAAUUCCAGGUGUAGCGGUGAAAUGCGUAGAGAUCUGGAGGAAUACCGGUGGCGAAGGCGGCCCCCUGGACAAAGACUGACGCUCAGGUGCGAAAGCGAGGGGAGCAAACAGGAUUAGAUACCCCGGUAGUC